GUAUAAAGCACUGAUCGUUGUUUUGAUGACGAUCUCUUUCCUUUUUUAUGGAGAUGCGAUAGACGGAUGGCGGCCUUCCAGUCUUGUAGCUCAUUCAAAUAAGCCGCUAGGGAAUCUUCAGUGAUUUGCAUGAGAUCUGGAGAUGUAUCUGAUUUUCCAAGAAUCAUGGGAGAUUUCUUGAUUUGAUGAUGUGAUGUUGAUCUUCUCCUUGUGUGCCAACGGCUUCUUUUAAUGAAUAUUUCCUUCCUUGUUUAAUGCUUCAAUCUUGCUUCCUUGAUUUAGUGAGAUGGCAGCUUGUCUUUUAUCCUUUCUUCGCUUGCCUUUUAUCCAUGCUUAAGUGAUUCUGCUUUCUUCCUUGAAUAUCUG
This 366-nucleotide long non-coding RNA is filed under the name Nicotiana benthamiana. RNAcentral's name for it is "long non-coding RNA (NBEN_LNC032280)". Lineage: Eukaryota; Viridiplantae; Streptophyta; Magnoliopsida; Solanales; Solanaceae. The record is from RNAcentral.